CGCUGGCGGCACGCCUUAUACAUGCAAGUCGAACGGAGUAGCAAUACUCAGUGGCAGACGGGUGAGUAACAUGUAGGUAUCUUCCCUUUGGUGAGGAAUAACACGAGGAAACUUGUGCUAAUACCUCAUAAGUCUUUACGGAGAAAGCUUUAUGCGCCAUUGGAUGAGCCUGCACUUGAUUAGUUUGUUGGUGGGGUAAUGGCCCACCAAGACUUUGAUCAAUAGCUGAUUUGAGAGGAUGAUCAGCCACAUUGGGACUGAGACACGGCCCAAACUCCUACGGGAGGCAGCAGUAGGGAAUCUUGCACAAUGGAGGAAACUCUGAUGCAGCGAUGCCGCGUGAGUGAAGAAGGCCCUUGGGUUGUAAAGCUCUUUCGUCGGGGAAGAAAAUGACUGUACCCGAAUAAGAAGGUCCGGCUAACUUCGUGCCAGCAGCCGCGGUAAUACGAAGGGACCUAGCGUAGUUCGGAAUUACUGGGCUUAAAGAGUUCGUAGGUGGUUAAAAAAGUUGGUGGUGAAAUCCCAGAGCUUAACUCUGGAACUGCCAUCAAAACUUUUUAGCUAGAGUAUGAUAGAGGAAAGCAGAAUUUCUAGUGUAGAGGUGAAAUUCGUAGAUAUUAGAAAGAAUACCAAUUGCGAAGGCAGCUUUCUGGAUCAUUACUGACACUGAGGAACGAAAGCAUGGGUAGCGAAGAGGAUUAGAUACCCUCGUAGUCCAUGCCGUAAACGAUGUGUGUUAGACGUUGGAAAUUUAUUUUCAGUGUCGCAGCGAAAGCAAUAAACACACCGCCUGGGGAGUACGACCGCA
This 808-nucleotide ribosomal RNA is filed under the name uncultured Pelagibacteraceae bacterium. RNAcentral describes it as "bacterial SSU rRNA". It matches the Rfam family "Bacterial small subunit ribosomal RNA", at positions 34 to 890 of the family's 1533-position model. Lineage: Bacteria; Pseudomonadati; Pseudomonadota; Alphaproteobacteria; Candidatus Pelagibacterales; Candidatus Pelagibacteraceae. The record is from RNAcentral.